RNAcentral lists this ribosomal RNA (379 nucleotides) under uncultured eukaryote. Its description in RNAcentral is "partial 18S ribosomal RNA". It matches the Rfam family "Eukaryotic small subunit ribosomal RNA", at positions 592 to 976 of the family's 1831-position model. The record is from RNAcentral.
CAAUAGCGUAUAUUUAAGUUGUUGCAGUUAAAAAGCUCGUAGUUGGAUUCCGGAUGGGAUUUGCCGGUCCGUCGUUACGAUGUGCACUGGCCAGUCCUAUCUUGUUGUCGGGGACUAGCUCCUUGGAUUCACUUCCUGGGACUAGGAGCUGACGAGGUUACUUUGAGUAAAUUAGAGUGUUCAAAGCAAGCCUACGCUCUGAAUACAUUAGCAUGGAAUAACACGAUAGGACUCUGGCUUAUCUUGUUGGUCUGUGAGACCAGAGUAAUGAUUAAGAGGGACAGUCGGGGACAUUCGUAUUUCAUUGUCAGAGGUGAAAUUCUUGGAUUUAUGAAAGACGAACUUCUGCGAAAGCAUUUGUCAAGGAUGUUUUCAUUAA